GGGGCGUUAGCUCAGCCGGUUAGAGCAGCGGACUCAUAAUCCGUCGGUCGCGGGUUCAAGUCCCGCACGCCCUAC
This 75-nucleotide transfer RNA is filed under the name Leucobacter tardus. RNAcentral's name for it is "tRNA-Met". It matches the Rfam family "tRNA". From Rfam's summary of the family: Transfer RNA (tRNA) molecules are approximately 80 nucleotides in length. The record is from RNAcentral. Lineage: Bacteria; Bacillati; Actinomycetota; Actinomycetes; Micrococcales; Microbacteriaceae. RNAcentral also lists the same sequence under 2 other names.